RNAcentral lists this long non-coding RNA (353 nucleotides) under Olea europaea subsp. europaea. Lineage: Eukaryota; Viridiplantae; Streptophyta; Magnoliopsida; Lamiales; Oleaceae. The record is from RNAcentral.
CUCAAAUAGAAAAUUAAAAAUAAACGCAAAAUUGUAAAUUGAAAUGCAAACCAAACAAAACAUAAGAUUUUACAUGGAAUCAAUGAUAUCAUGGGAGAUCACCUUGACAAUGCAUAUAUUUAUGUUGAAUCCUAACCUUAGGUAAAAUACAUGUACAAAAUGGGCAUUCUUUAUCAAGAAAAUAGAAAAAGUGAAAGACCAAUUAGCCUUAAACAACACACCAAUCAUCAUUUGACAUUUCUCAAGAUCAAAAGCUUGAAAUCAACUGAAAAUUCCAUCACAUGAAGCUUUUUUUCCUUCUUGAAAAUUGUCUACCACAUUUUAUGUGCUAUAUACUAUUCUCAUGAAUGAAU